GACGAACGCUGGCGGCGUGCUUAACACAUGCAAGUCGUACGGUAAGGCCCUUUCGGGGGUACACGAGUGGCGAACGGGUGAGUAACACGUGAGUAACCUGCCCACAACUUUGGGAUAACGCUAGGAAACUGGUGCUAAUACUGGAUAUGUGCUCCUGCUGCAUGGUGGGGGUUGGAAAGCUCCGGCGGUUGUGGAUGAACUCGCGGCCUAUCAGCUUGUUGGUGGGGUAGUGGCCUACCAAGGCGGCGACGGGUAGCCGGCCUGAGAGGGUGACCGGCCACAUUGGGACUGAGAUACGGCCCAGACUCCUACGGGAGGCAGCAGUGGGGAAUAUUGCACAAUGGGCGCAAGCCUGAUGCAGCAACGCCGCGUGCGGGAUGACGGCCUUCGGGUUGUAAACCGCUUUCAGCAGGGACGAAGCUUUUUGUGACGGUACCUGCAGAAGAAGCACCGGCUAACUACGUG
RNAcentral lists this ribosomal RNA (465 nucleotides) under uncultured bacterium. Its description in RNAcentral is "partial 16S ribosomal RNA". It matches the Rfam family "Bacterial small subunit ribosomal RNA", at positions 28 to 507 of the family's 1533-position model. The record is from RNAcentral.